UACAGAGGUCCCGAGCGUUGUUCGGAUUCAUUGGGCGUAAAGGGUGCGUAGGUGGCGCUGUAAGUGGGGUGUGAAAUCCCGGGGCUUAACUCCGGAACUGCAUUCCAUACUGCGGUGCUUGAGGACUGGAGAGGAGACUGGAAUUUACGGUGUAGCAGUGAAAUGCGUAGAGAUCGUAAGGAAGACCAGUGGCGAAGGCGGGUCUCUGGACAGUUCCUGACACUGAGGCACGAAAGCGUGGGGAGCGAACAGG
This 253-nucleotide ribosomal RNA is filed under the name uncultured bacterium. RNAcentral's name for it is "partial 16S ribosomal RNA". It matches the Rfam family "Bacterial small subunit ribosomal RNA", at positions 524 to 776 of the family's 1533-position model. The record is from RNAcentral.